RNAcentral lists this ribosomal RNA (442 nucleotides) under uncultured bacterium. Its description in RNAcentral is "partial 16S ribosomal RNA". It matches the Rfam family "Bacterial small subunit ribosomal RNA", at positions 338 to 795 of the family's 1533-position model. The record is from RNAcentral.
CCUACGGGAGGCAGCAGUGGGGAAUAUUGGGCAAUGGGCGCAAGCCUGACCCAGCAAUGCCGCGUGAAGGAAGAAGGCUUUCGGGUUGUAAACUUCUUUGACAGGGGAAGAGCAGAAGACGGUACCCUGAAAACAAGCCACGGCUAACUACGUGCCAGCAGCCGCGGUAAUACGUAGGUGGCAAGCGUUGUCCGGAUUUACUGGGUGUAAAGGGCGUGUAGCCGGGAAGGCAAGUCAAGGGUGAAAUCCCCGCGCUCAACGUGGGAACUGCCUUUGAAACUGGCAAACUGGAGUGUGUGAGAGGAUAGUGGAAUUCCAGGUGUAGGAGUGAAAUCCGUAGAUAUCUGGAGGAACAUCAGUGGCGAAGGCGACUAUCUGGCACAUAACUGACGCUGAGGAGCGAAAGCGUGGGUAGCAAACAGGAUUAGAUACCCUUGUAGUC